CAAUUAAUUUCUUCCUGACACUGAUGGCCAAACCAAACUCUUUACGAGGAAGAAUCUUGUUUCGGCAUCCUCUUCCGCAAUGCCACUUGGUGAAGAUCCAUUGAAAUUGUUAUCAUUGGCUUUGAUCAGAAUUGCACACAUGAAGAAAUUUGGGAUUAUUUCCUGCUUUACCAUAUCCCAUGCUUUCUUCAGGAUAUUCAUUUCAUUGGAGUUUUCACUGGAUUCUGGGCAGGUUUGAAGCUCCUCCGAUCCUCAAAGCCAGCUUACUGAAUGAAGGCAGCAGACCACGUGAUGCUAACCCCGGAAGGUGGCCAGGCCAGCCAGAGGCAGCUUACACGAGCCACAGGCCUGGGGCCUGCCAGAAAAUGGGGGGAUCUGAGAGACCUGCCCCAGGAAGGAGAACUGACACAAAACACUCCCGACUCCAUAAGAUGCCUGCCUGGCAUGAAAUCUAUCAAAACGUACCUGCACAGCUGCCCAAACACUUCUGCGAAAACCGUGGCUGGACCUGGAGCAGUAAAUCGGCAGCAAUUGAAACCAGGAACUCUCCACUGUGUCCGAAGCAAACACCUUCCGGUAAAAGAAAGCACACAGUAAAUUACCUGCUACAUUGGGUCCUAAGCAGAUCCUCUGCAAAAAUUCACUAAACUGCAACCUACCUGCUCCACAGGAUCCUCAGAAGGAUCACUUAACUGGAAGCAGUCACAAUCCACUUCACCAGACCACCAGAACACUCAAAUGUAAGAAACCUGUGAGGAAGCGGGUAAGUGUGCCAGCCUGCUAGUAAGAUUGAGACUACGUGGCUUCAAGAUUAACCCCCCCCCCCAACUUCCUAGAUUAUUUCUAGCAAAUGUACAUUCUCUGGAGAACAAGAUGGACAAAGUAAGAUCACUGCUCGGCUUCCAGUGUGAACUGCGGGACUGUUGCGCACUCUGCUUCACAGAAACUUGGCUCAACCCAUCCAUUCCCGACUACGCACUUCAGGCUGAUGGUUUUUCUAUCUAUCGUAUGGACCGUACAGCGUCCUCAGGUAAGACAAAGGGUGGAUGGUUUGCUUUAUAAUCAACAACUUGCGGUGCAUGGACAUUGCAAUCCUAAGCAGCCAUUGGUCCCCAAAACCAUGAAUUCCUCACCAUCAAAUGCCACCCUUUCUAUCCACCACAGGAAUUUACCAUUGCUAUACUAACUGCUGUAUACAAACCGUCAGAAGCAGAGGUUGAAGAAGCUCCACCACUAACACCCUGGAGACGGAACGCCUGAAGCCCUAUAACUGGUGACCUCAAUCAAGCCAAUCUAAGGAAGGUGUUGCCCAAGUAUCACCAGAUCAUUACCUGCCCCACCAGGGGCCCAAACAUUUUAGACCACUGUACACCAUCAUGAAAGAUGCCUAUUGUUCCACCUACCUCCCUCAUUUUGGGAACUCCGACCACAAUACCAAUGUUUCUUCUCCCGGCUUAUAGGCAAAAGCUAAAGCAGGAGAUCCCCUCACAAAUACUAGUCCAGUGUUGGUCGGAGGAGGCAAAGAAUCAACUCCGGUACUGUCUGGAAUCGGCUGAUUGGGCCGUGUUGAAACAGUCCAGUGGUACCUUGGACGAGUAUACCACCACCAUCACAGACUUUAUCAGCAAGUGUGCAUACCGAGGAAGUCAAUCUGGGUGUUCCCCAAAGAACCUGCUAAAAACCAGGCAUGAAGUCUUCAGAUCCGGAGAUCCACUCAAAUAUAAGGAAUCCAAGAAUGACCUUCGCAGAACCAUUAAGACAUCCAAGAACCAAUACUGAUCCAAACUAGAGACCCAGACAGACACCCCGCGACUAUGGCAAGGACUGAGUGACAUCACAAGUUCUAAAAAGAGACAGUGCAAGAUAGCAGACGAUGACACAUCCCUCCCAAAUCGUCUCAACGCCUUCUAUGCUUGCUUUGAGCAGAAUUUUGCUGGAGAGGUAACACCUACUCCGACAAGUCGUGAUGAACCUAUCCCAACAGUCACUGCAUCAGAGGUCAGAUCAGUUUUCCUUCGUGUGAAUUCAAGGAAAGUGAAGGGACUAGAAGGAGUACCAGGCUGUGCACACAGGGCAUGUGCGGAUCAAUUAGCAGAGGUCUUCUCGGACAUCUUCAAACUCUCCUUGCUGCAGGCCACUGUCCCUGCCUGUUUCAAGAGGGCCAACACCAUCCUUGUGCCUAAGAAGGCUCAUACAGCAUGUCUCAAUGACUACCGCCCAAUGGCCCUAACUUCAGUGGUCAUGAAGUGCUUGGAAAGGUUGGUCAUGGCAUUAAUCAACUCCAGCCUCCCCACUACUCUUGACUCACUCCAAUUUACGUAUCAGACAAACAGAUCCACGUCAGAUGCCAUAUCACUUGCCUUUCAUUCCUCCUUAGAACACCUUGACACCGAAAACAGCUACGUAAGAAUCCUACUUAUUGAAUACAGUUCAGCCUUCAACACUAUUAUUCCUCUCCGCACUGAUUGCUUAACUUAGUGAUCUCAGACUAAGCCCACUCUCUGCAAUUAGGUCCUCAGUUUCCUGACCCACAGACCACAAUCAGUGAAGCUUGGGGACAAUAUUUCAUCCUCACUAACACUCAACACUGGAGCCCCCCAGGGAUGUGCACUCAGCCCCCCCCCCCCCCCCCCCCCCCCCACUGUACUCACUGUAUAUCCAUCAUUGCAUCACCAAAUACUAGACUAGUGCCAUUUACAAGUUCGCUGAUGACACCACCAUAGUCAGUCAAACCUCAAAUGACGACGAAACAGACCACAGAUGGGAGGAGGAAGACCUGGAAAAAUUGUGCACCAAGAACAACCUCGCUCUCAAUGCUAGCAAAACUAAGAAAUCAUUAUUGACUUUCGGCAGAAAGUUACUCAUGCCCCCCUACACAUUAAUAGCACAGAAGUGGAACAAGUAGAGAGUGGUUAUACACAAGCUUUCUUGGACUCUUCAUGUGGACACAGCUGAGGAAAUUUGGCAUGAUGGCAAAUACCCUUGUCAACUCUUAUAGGUGUGCCAUCGUGAGUAUUCCAUCUGGAUGUAUCACUACCUGUUAUGGCAACGGUAUCAUUCAAGAUCAGAGACAGUUACAGAGAGUGGUGAACUCGGCCGGGACAAUAACAAAGGCCAACUUCCCAUCCAUAGAAUCCAUCUACCAGGCCCGCUGUCAAGGAAAGGCCACUAGCAUUCUCAACGAGCCAUCCCACCCUGGCAACCUCUACCACCAGGGAGAAGGUACAGAAGCCUGAACACAUGCACCAGCCGGUGUCCUAACAGUUUCUACCCUACUGUUGUUAGAAUACGGAAUGGACUCACAAACUCUUAACAUUCACCUGUACCUGUGUUUUUGAUUUUUGCCACUGUUUAUCUAUGCUGCUUAACUCUGAGAUCUGCCUGUAUUGCUCGCAAGACAAAGCUUUUCACUGUGCCUCGGUAUGUGACAAUAAAUUGAAUUGAACUGAAUUCAAUUCAAUUCUAUGAGCAGUGGUGGGCCCAAGGAUCGAUGAUGGGUCCACUGUUAUUUGUCAUUUAUAUAAAUAAUUUGAAUGAAAAGAUAGGAGGUAUGGUUAGUAAAUUUGCAGG
Hemiscyllium ocellatum (epaulette shark) is the source of this 3570-nucleotide long non-coding RNA. RefSeq lists it as uncharacterized. Lineage: Eukaryota; Metazoa; Chordata; Chondrichthyes; Orectolobiformes; Hemiscylliidae. The record is from RefSeq and is a predicted model, not a curated record. The transcript is spliced from 3 exons.